Sarcophilus harrisii (Tasmanian devil) is the source of this 103-nucleotide small nuclear RNA. The record is from Ensembl. Lineage: Eukaryota; Metazoa; Chordata; Mammalia; Dasyuromorphia; Dasyuridae.
UCACUUUGGCAGCACAUAUACUAAAAUUGGAACGAUACAGAGAAAAUUAGCAUGGCCCCUGCACAAGGAUGACAUGCAAAUUUGUGAAGCGUUCCAUUCUGAG